GAGGAAUAUUGGUCAAUGGACGAGAGUCUGAACCAGCCAAGUAGCGUGAAGGAUGACUGCCCUAUGGGUUGUAAACUUCUUUUAUAUGGGAAUAAAGUGGUCCACGUGUGGAUUUUUGUAUGUACCAUAUGAAUAAGGAUCGGCUAACUCCGUGCCAGCAGCCGCGGUAAUACGGAGGAUCCGAGCGUUAUCCGGAUUUAUUGGGUUUAAAGGGAGCGUAGGUGGACAGUUAAGUCAGUUGUGAAAGUUUGCGGCUCAACCGUAAAAUUGCAGUUGAUACUGGCUGUCUUGAGUACAGUAGAGGUGGGCGGAAUUCGUGGUGUAGCGGUGAAAUGCUUAGAUAUCACGAAGAACUCCGAUUGCGAAGGCAGCUCACUGGACUGCAACUGACACUGAUGCUCGAAAGUGUGGGUAUCAAAC
This 420-nucleotide ribosomal RNA is filed under the name uncultured bacterium. RNAcentral's name for it is "bacterial SSU rRNA". It matches the Rfam family "Bacterial small subunit ribosomal RNA", at positions 356 to 773 of the family's 1533-position model. The record is from RNAcentral.